GUUUGAUCAUUAAAACAAGGGUCUUGGAGACGUUCCCUUUGUUUUAAGAUGACGCACUUAAGAGGAAAUGACAGAUGGCGCAUCCCCCACCUGUUUGCGCUGUUCAUGGUUCUUGUCACUCUCAGUUCAUGUGUGGCAGCAGCUCCUGGGGUUCAGCCUACAACAAUUUCCACUUCCAUUCCAACAAGCGUCCCUGGAGAAAAAUCUGCUUUACUCAGUCAGAUCACGGGCAAUGUCAAGUCGGCAACCUCCGCCGCCAGUGAGUCCGCGAUUACGUCAAAUGCUCUUUUGGAAAAAACCGCGAGUCCUGAUCCAAUUGACGCGUUUAUGAAUGGAGUAAUCGGACCCUUGCAGGAGGACGAUUUGGAGUACUCGUUAGAUUACUACAAUGAAAAAUUCCUGAUGAAGGAGUACGAUUUUGAGCCCGUGGACCUUUUGAAGAAACUCGCUAAAUCUGCGAUGUCGGAAGGAACAACGCCCAAGCAAUUUCUUGAAGAAAUUCAGGACAUUAUAUCUUUGCAAAACCGAUCACGAUCAGAACAGGAUGACGCAGUUGGCCGAGAUGACGUCUCUCAAAUUCCUGCUGGCUACCUGAGCGAGAACUUACGGAAGCAAGUGACAGAAGGCUGGAAAAACGAGCUGAAACGUCUGGAAAAAAAAUACAAUAUCAGUUCAGAGUGUGUAGGUCCCGACUCCAUAACUUCCACAAGACUGGCGCUAAUGUUCCCUCACUACAUUAAUUUCGGUCAGAAACCAUUCGCGGCUCCGACUAACAUCACGGUGGGUAUAUCAUCUUAUUCCCAGAAACAGGUGUAUGAUCCUUACACAGGAAGUUAUCGUUAUGAGACCCUCGAUGCAAAUAUUCCAUCAAUUUUAGGUCGUCCAGAAUUCGGAGGAGUUAUUCCAUUGGUGCUGUUAGAUGAAUCUACCCGUGAGAUAAUCAUAGGCACGCACCUCUACGCCCUUCACAGGAAGGACGUUGAUGACCUGGUGCCCUUCCGGACCAAGUGUGCUUUGCUAAAGCGCCGUAUGGAAAAGAGCUCGCUAUCGGAGCAACGGAGAGUCAGGUUUCUCAUCAACAACGAAAUUAUGCAUAAAAAUGGAACUUUGUUAAGGACUUCAAUUAAAAAGGUCUACGAGCAAAUACCGAAUAAUUUUAAGGAAAAAAUUGACUGGGAUUUGCUGAGUUGGGAGGUGCAUGUGUAUCUUUGA
This 1212-nucleotide long non-coding RNA is filed under the name Bemisia tabaci. Its description in RNAcentral is "lncRNA ENSSSA1UGG001649". The record is from RNAcentral. Lineage: Eukaryota; Metazoa; Arthropoda; Insecta; Hemiptera; Aleyrodidae.